UAAGGAAUAUUGCUCAAUGGGGGAAACCCUGAAGCAGCAACGCCGCGUGAGGGAUGAAGGGCUUUUGCUCGUAAACCUCUGUAGUGAGGGAAAAAAUUUCCACUCUGUGGAAUAUGAUGGUACCUCAAAAGUAAGCCCCGGCUAACUACGUGCCAGCAGCCGCGGUAAUACGUAGGGGGCAAACGUUGUCCGGAUUUACUGGGUGUAAAGGGUGCUCAGGCGGUUUUGUAAGUCAGAAGUGAAAUCCUAG
Molecule: ribosomal RNA, 250 nt
Filed under: uncultured bacterium
Lineage: Bacteria
Description: partial 16S ribosomal RNA
Rfam family: Bacterial small subunit ribosomal RNA
Source: RNAcentral